GGUAUUGUUUGCCCCACAGUAGGCCCCGGAAACUUAUUAUGCGUGUCAAACAAGCAUAUA
The sequence is a regulatory RNA element, 60 nucleotides long. It matches the Rfam family "Ribosomal protein L13 leader". Rfam says of the family: This family is a putative r-protein leader autoregulatory structure found in B. subtilis and other low-GC Gram-positive bacteria. It is located in the 5' untranslated regions of mRNAs encoding the L13-S9 (rplM-rpsI) ribosomal protein operon. The record is from Rfam.